MicroRNA precursor from Nicotiana attenuata, 97 nucleotides. It matches the Rfam family "MIR6152 microRNA precursor family". NCBI's taxonomy places the organism in Eukaryota, Viridiplantae, Streptophyta, Magnoliopsida, Solanales, Solanaceae. The record is from Rfam.
UGGACAGAUUAUUGUAUUCAACUGUAUUCACGGUGCGAAAUAGGGGAUUACACUAUUUUUAAAACGGAAAGUGAAUCAAUUAACAUAAUAGACUCCU